Molecule: ribosomal RNA, 253 nt
Filed under: uncultured bacterium
Lineage: Bacteria
Description: partial 16S ribosomal RNA
Rfam family: Bacterial small subunit ribosomal RNA
Source: RNAcentral
UACGUAGGUGGCAAGCGUUGUCCGGAUUUACUGGGCGUAAAGAGCGCGCAGGCGGUCAUUCAAGUCGAGUGUGAAAGCCCCCGGCUCAACUGGGGAGGGUCACUCGAUACUGUUUGACUCGAAGGCGGGAGAGGGAAGUGGAAUUCCCGGUGUAGUGGUGAAAUGCGUAGAUAUCGGGAGGAACACCUGUGGCGAAAGCGGCGCACUGGACCACAACUGACGCUGAGGCGCGAAAGCUAGGGGAGCAAACAGG